UUUCAGCAGAAUUCAGAAACACAAAACUUCCUAAACAGAUAUUUUGAGGCUGUGAGGUUGAACGUUUGAGAGUAUAUCAGUGUGUUUGUUUGUAGUCUUUCUGUUUCUAGGUGGAAGCUGAAUUAGUGAGGAUGACUCCUGCUCCUGUCAUCUCUAAGCUUCUCACACAUCUUUACCUGCACAUGAGGAAAAUCACUCCUGUAGAAUGCAGAUGUUCAGAGGGAGAUGAUGCCACAUCUGGUCCAGCCGAUGGAAGGUCUUGAAGUUCUCUGACUGGCCUCGACUGAAGAUGGUCGUCUCACUGGAUUUAAGGUUCAGAUGCUCAGUAACAAACUCCACCAAUGAACCAACAGGGAAGCUUUAGGUUUAUUAAAUGUUGCUAUGAAGGUAUCGCUGUUUUUCUUUGUGAAUGCAAUGUGCUCCAACUGAAACUUCAAUUAGAACUUGGAAGUAAAUCCUUCCAUCUGAAAGGAUUUAGUUGUAUUAAUAACCUUAUAACAUUCUAAUUUUUCUUCCAGUCUUGGUUGGAAAUAGAAUCUCUGUAUUGAUUCAGGUAAAAACUGAACUUCACAGCAUGUUGAAGCAAAACAACCAGAUGAAAACUGUGAUGGUGUUGGAUUGUCAGACCGUAAUGUUGCAGCUCAAAGCAGCUACAAUAUUAUUUAAAUUGACAUCAUUAUUAUAAUAUUUAGGGUCAGACCCUACAGUAUUGAGAUUAAGAAAUCAAAUAUUCUUUAAAAUGUAAAUACACUGAACUCAUUUGGAUAUAUUUAAGUGAGACUCUACAAUAUUAUUUGACACAAAUCUAAUCAGAAUUAAAAUCAGUUUUACUCCAAACAUUUACUGGACUGAUUUAAAUAUUAAAAUCACUCCUUUCUAAUCCUCUGCUGUAUGUUCAAACCUGAGGCCUUAAAUAGAAACACACAAGUAUCUGUUUGAAGGAGCUUCUGCAGAGUCCUGGUUCCAGAACAUGAUGAUAGAAUAAUAGACAAACUUUAACAAAAGCUGCCUGAGAGUUUACAGGUUUUUAUGUUAGAUUUCUUCAGUAAUUUAAUGACCGUCAUCAGCAAAAAUCAAGUGUUCAUUUGAUGAACUUCAUUUCCUAAAACAUCCAGAAUUGGAGCUCAUAUCUUUGGCAGCUGUAAAGUUUCUGCUCCUUCAAAGUUCACAACACAAUGAAUUAAUUCCUAAAACACUCUCAAUGCUGGAGAGUGUUUGUGAUGCUGAAGCAGUGAACAGUUUUUCUGUUUCUUCUCUGGAGAUGCACAAUGAAGGACGUCUGCAGCGACUGAGAAAGAGUCUCACCACAUCCUGACAUGAGGAAAAAGACUUUUCUGAAGACUACAAUGAGAAAAACUAUCAGACAGCAGACGGCUGCAUUCAAGUUGAGCUCUGAACAUUAGAUCUGGAACAGGAAUUCAAUAACGGCAGCAUGAGGUUCAUGUCAGUCUGUAGCUGCUGAAUUCAUGGAUGAAUCAUCUGGCACUAGAAAGGAAGACCAUCAAACAUCCACGUCAGCUGAUGGAGGUCCAAGAGUGUCACCGAACAAACAACCUACAGAGUGAAGACCUCGAAUCUGAUUGGACGGCCUCCUAUUCAGCCACAUGUGAACAAAUGCCUCUAAGUUGAUUUGUUUUCUAAAAUAAAUCUAGUUUGAGUCCUAA
Molecule: long non-coding RNA, 1664 nt
Organism: Amphiprion ocellaris (clown anemonefish)
Lineage: Eukaryota; Metazoa; Chordata; Actinopteri; Pomacentridae
Exons: 2
Source: RefSeq, a predicted model, not a curated record